UGGAGCUUUGAACAGCUCUGGGUGAGUGAACAAAAUAAGAUCCUGGUGCUGAAAAGCUGACUAUGUGACCCAGACAGUGC
Molecule: non-coding RNA, 80 nt
Organism: Tursiops truncatus (common bottlenose dolphin)
Lineage: Eukaryota; Metazoa; Chordata; Mammalia; Artiodactyla; Delphinidae
Source: Rfam